UACGUAGGGGGCAAGCGUUAUCCGGAUUUACUGGGUGUAAAGGGAGUGUAGGCGGUACGGCAAGUCAGAAGUGAAAGCCUGGGGCUCAACCCCGGAAUUGCUUUUGAAACUGUCGAACUAGAGUGUCGGAGGGGUAAGCGGAAUUCCUAGUGUAGCAGUGAAAUGCGUAGAUAUUAGGAGGAACACCAGUGGCGAAGGCGGCUUACUGGACGACUACUGACGCUGAGGCUCGAAAGCGUGGGGAGCAAAC
RNAcentral lists this ribosomal RNA (250 nucleotides) under uncultured prokaryote. RNAcentral's name for it is "partial 16S ribosomal RNA". It matches the Rfam family "Bacterial small subunit ribosomal RNA", at positions 524 to 773 of the family's 1533-position model. The record is from RNAcentral.